Molecule: transfer RNA, 74 nt
Filed under: Asanoa siamensis
Lineage: Bacteria; Bacillati; Actinomycetota; Actinomycetes; Micromonosporales; Micromonosporaceae
Description: tRNA-Val
Rfam family: tRNA
About the family: Transfer RNA (tRNA) molecules are approximately 80 nucleotides in length. Their secondary structure includes four short double-helical elements and three loops (D, anti-codon, and T loops).
Source: RNAcentral
GGGCGCGUAGCUCAGCGGAAGAGCACUCGCCUUACAAGCGAGGGGUCGCAGGUUCGAACCCUGCCGCGCCCACC